GAAGCUCCUAAUAAUGAAAGCCCCCAUCAUCUUGUCUUUCUUCUCACCAAAACAAAAUUCUUCUUGCACUCAUGAAGAGGUGACAAUUUGCUGCUUGAUAACAAUGGCCCAAAAGGUACUCUCACCAUUAGACAGACAUCCUUUGGAUAGCACUACUACCCAUCAGUGUUUGAAGCAUCCAUGACUUUAUGCUGGCAUUCCACCUUUGUGUCAUGGUCAUUAGGACCACAAAUUGCAGGAGCCACAUAGAAGACAGAGAAACAUUUAGUUGAUAUCUCAUUGAAAGUACCUUGUGCAUGUGUUAUCCCAAUGUGACUAAAGUAAGCUUGCCACUGUAAUGCUACACUUUACACAUGCCAAUCUCCAUCCCCUCCUGCCAUUCACACACUUCAAAAGAAGAUCCUCCCACUGGAAUGGAACACUCAUCCUUCUUAGAAAUGGGUCCUAAAGCAAACAUAAUCCCUGAUUAAGUGCAGCACUCAGUAGAUGUAUGGGAAUAUGAGAGAGCAUCUGCGCACAUUUCGAUGCCAUGGGCUCAUGUGCAGUCAACCAUCUUUUGUCUGAACUCUGUGGAGAGGACAAAGCAGUGGCAUAUCAGAAAGAAUGGGAGAGAAAGAGAAAAAAAGGAGUGGGGGGAAAAAGAGAAAAAGUUAGCACAACACACUUCACAAGUUGCUGAGAGAGCUCAAAGUUGGGGGCUUUCGCAGAAAGCCAUGUAUGAUUUAUCUUAGUUGGCACAACCUAAUUGCGGAUCUGAUGGCACUAAAGUGAAGCGUACAAUUGAUAGGGCAUCCAAUGCUCCCAAAGUUGGAACACUUUCACCACAGUAAAAUUGGAUCUUCACCCAUCAUUUGGCAUUAGAUCGACUCAAAGGUUGUGCUAAAGGCAUGAUUUUGUUGGGCUGUGGCUUUUUUUGGGGUUAGUAUAAUGCCAUUGAACAGUAAUUGUGUCCUAAUAAGCCAUCUUAAACUCAUUUUAAGCUUCUUAUUCUUGGAUUAG
This 999-nucleotide long non-coding RNA is filed under the name Musa acuminata (dwarf banana). Its description in RNAcentral is "long non-coding RNA (MACU_LNC002430)". The record is from RNAcentral. Lineage: Eukaryota; Viridiplantae; Streptophyta; Magnoliopsida; Zingiberales; Musaceae.